UACGGCGGCCAUAGCGACAGGGAAACACCCGGUCCCAUCCCGAACCCGGAAGUUAAGCCUGCCAGCGCCGAUGGUACUGCAACCGGAAGGUUGUGGGAGAGUAGGACGCCGCCGGAC
RNAcentral lists this ribosomal RNA (117 nucleotides) under Nocardioides sp. RNAcentral also lists the same sequence under 1 other name. Lineage: Bacteria; Bacillati; Actinomycetota; Actinomycetes; Propionibacteriales; Nocardioidaceae. The record is from RNAcentral.